This is a long non-coding RNA of Stegodyphus dumicola, 1114 nucleotides long. RefSeq lists it as uncharacterized. The record is from RefSeq and is a predicted model, not a curated record. NCBI's taxonomy places the organism in Eukaryota, Metazoa, Arthropoda, Arachnida, Araneae, Eresidae.
GCCUGGUUUUCGGCUGCUGAUGUGCAACCGUUUAAAAAUUAUGCCAUCGAAAAGUAAUGGCGUCGGAUGAAUGUUUAGCUAUGUAUCAUUUAUUAAACCUAACACAUCAUCGUAAUUCAAUUCAAAGAAAAAUGUUUCGAAGCAGACUGGAUGUGUUUGCAUUAUCUGACAAGCAGUUUAUAAAGUUAUUUAGGGUAGAUAAACAGUUGUAUUCUGAACUAAUAGCUAAUGUCCGAAGACUCUUACUUUUUUAUGGAUUGCCGCAUGAGCUAAGAGAAAGGGAUCUUGGCGAAAUUCCAGAACACUUUGUGUAAUAAGGUAUCAAGAAAUUUCGAAACCUAAGGAACUACUUCCAGUAUCCCAGGAAAUUGACGAAAAUCUCGAAAAAGGAAAAGAAGUUCGUAGAGAAACCCCAGUUUGGUAUCUUCCUUGUAUAUACGGAAAUGAAAAUAUGCAGAACAACACUUAUCGUAACGCAUAAAAAUCACGUAAAGUAAGACAUUUACUAAACAGCGCAACAAUUAAAUGAAAAUAAUGUCAAAUAUUAUCAAAAUAAGGAUAAGAAUUAAAUACAUCACUGUUUCCUUUUGCAAAAAUACAUUAUAAUGAUUCUUAUGAGUUUUGGAUGCCGACUGACGUUGAUUAUAAAUAGAGAACAUUUUCAUAAUGUUGUAUCGUUUUACAGUUGAACUUCCCAUGGAUGCUAUCAUAUAUAAGAAACAGUAAACUUAGACUUAGUCAGCUGAUCAAUGUUAAAAGGAUUCUCAUUUUGCCCCCUUUCCUCCAAAGGGAAGGCAUGGAAGAAUUUUUCUGAGGGAAAAAUGAGCGUUCGUUGCUUAGUACAGACUGCGUCGCAAUUUACUAUUACGUUUUAUUUCAAGCAAAAGCGAGUUUUCUGCUCCAAAGUUUACAUUUAGUUUAAAGUACUAUACAUAUGUAUUAGCUGUACAUUUAUAUUGAAAAUGUUUCACAACGUUUUUUCAGAAAAUUGUAUAUAAUGAAACUUUUGAUUAAUUCCAUGGUCUGAUUAAUUUUGUUAACUUUGUAAAAGUUGCGUAAAUUUGGAAUAUGUUAUAAAUUUUAAUAAUAAAAUAAUUGAUCAAUCUUAGUUUAA